GACGAUGUUCCAUACCAAGUGCGAGUCACUGCCAGUGGCGAUCUUGAAACUGUUGGCCGAUACAAUUUCAAUGGCCAACUUAACCACACAAUGAUUGCCCACCCAAAAAUUGAUCCAGUUUCUAAGGAGCUAUUUGCUCUGAGUUACGACGUCGUCCAAAAGCCGUACCUCAAGUACUUCCGAUUCUUCCCCGAUGGGACAAAAUCACCGGAUGUCGAUAUCCCUCUCCCAGUGCCAACCAUGAUGCAUGAUUUCGCUAUCACUGAGAA
This 269-nucleotide unclassified non-coding RNA is filed under the name Hevea brasiliensis (rubber tree). The record is from RNAcentral. Lineage: Eukaryota; Viridiplantae; Streptophyta; Magnoliopsida; Malpighiales; Euphorbiaceae.